Molecule: ribosomal RNA, 519 nt
Filed under: uncultured bacterium
Lineage: Bacteria
Description: partial 16S ribosomal RNA
Rfam family: Bacterial small subunit ribosomal RNA
Source: RNAcentral
ACUCAAAGGAAUAGACGGGGGCUCACACAAGCGGUGGAGCAUGUGGCUUAAUUCGAGGCUACGCGAAGAACCUUAUCCCGGGCUUGACAUGUCCGAAAGGGGCGGGAGGUAGGACCCGGAAACGGGGACGAACGGUAUCCAACCCGGAACCCGCCACAGGUGCUGCAUGGCUGUCGUCAGCUCGUGUCGUGAGAUGUCGGGUUAAGUCCCAUAACGAGCGAAACCCCUGUCUCCAGUUGCUACGCGUCAUGGCGAGGACUCUGGAGAGACUGCCGGCGUCAAGCCGGAGGAAGGCGGGGAUGACGUCAAGUCCUCAUGGCCUUUAUGCCCGGGGCUGCACACGUGCUACAAUGCCGCGCACAAAGGGACGCGAUGCCGCGAGGCGGAGCCAAUCCCAGAAAACGCGGCCCAGUUCAGAUCGCAGGCUGCAACUCGCCUGCGUGAAGCCGGAAUCGCUAGUAAUCGCGGGUCAGCAACACCGCGGUGAAUGUGUUCCUGAGCCUUGCACACACCGCCCGU